This is a long non-coding RNA of Pipra filicauda (Wire-tailed manakin), 2486 nucleotides long. RefSeq lists it as uncharacterized. The transcript is spliced from 8 exons. The record is from RefSeq and is a predicted model, not a curated record. NCBI's taxonomy places the organism in Eukaryota, Metazoa, Chordata, Aves, Passeriformes, Pipridae.
GCAAUUCUUCCUGUCUUUGACAAUACAGAGCAAUUUGGUAUUGCAAGUCCACACUGACAUCUAGUGCUGAAAAAAUUGCACUAGCCAAUGAGGAAACAAAGAAAAAAAAGAUGUUGGAUUGGAAUGAAAAAUCUAAAAAUAUAGCAAAUCAUCCCUCCUGCUUUAUGAAAAUGACAGUCUGUGGGUCUGUCCAGUGGGCAGGAGGUGCUUGGCUCCAUGAACUUGGGUGCUAUGGGGACAUCCCUUAGAGAAAUGCACAGGGUACCAGGUCUGACAGCCAGACAGCAUAGCAAGCCCUGGCUGCCCCUGAAAACUGCUCUUGGGGACAUGAGCAAUCUAGAGCUGUGACUUAUUUUAAGUUUGUUUUUUAGUCACUGCUGUUGUAGGACUUGGUCUGGAGCUACAUAACUAAUAGACCACUGCUGCCAAUGGCCUGGUAAUCUUGAUUUUACAAAGACUUCACAAGGAUGAAAUGUUCUCACCUUCCAACCCGAGAAGAGAAUUUCCUGGUACAUUCGGAAGAUUCCACACUCUAAGGAGCUUUGGAUCAGGUCCCAGAGGAUGUCAGAGCUCUGCCAGCCCUACUGAAAAACUGUAGUCCAAAUGCUGGCGUGCUAUUUGGCAAGCCACAACCAUAAGGUUAAGCAGAGGUUGCCAGAUGUAUCCUCCAUGGAGAGAAUCCUGGUGUUGCUUCCAAGAAGACCCAAAGGACAUGCAAUCUGGUGGUAGUGAAUUAUUCAAGAAGAUGCCACUAACAUUUUAAAGACCUGCCUGCUGCUGUCACUCUUCUUCUAAUAUUGCAAGCAUUCUCCUGUUCCACCUCUCCACAACCAUUCUCCGGUUCCAUCUCUCCGUAACAGAGCCUCUACCAACAGCUGAUGAAUGUGCUGGAUUUGCAGUUGCCCCAGGAUGCAGCAGUCAAGGCUGUGCUAUCUGAGCGGGGAGGAUGCUUCAUGGAAAGCCUACAAGAAUGCAUUUUACAGAGACUAUUGGAAAAUAUCAGUUCAGAAUUCACUUUCCACAAUCCAUGACACAUCCAGUGCUAAAAGCUGCUUUCACUUCAUCAGGAAUCAGAACCAGUGCCAGACCUGCCUCUGUUUCUUACACUUGCAAAAUUAAUACCAGUAAACUUCAGCUCAGAGAGGACUUGAAGAGAUUGUCUGGCAAAUAUUUUCAAAUGCUGUGAAUGAGCCAGUGGCCACUGUCACCGCUUGUCAGAGUCUGUGGAGGACAAGGCAUGAUAACUGAAGACAGGUGGUCAUUCCUAUGAGGCAGAAGCACACCAGGAGAGCCCUUAAUGAACGGUGACUUUCUCCUCCAGCUGAUGUACAUGGAUGUGAAAAAGCAAUUGGACACAAAAUUUCUCAAGUCCCCAGUUAGGGUAACAUAUUAUACAGCCAUCUUCUCUUAUGAGCCACUGAAAGAUGAAACAAAACAAACGUGAGGAGUGGACACAGCAAAGAGAGAAGCUAAGACAUGCAACUAAGUCUGCCAGCUGUAUGAAGUAAAAUGAUUACCCAAAGGAUGUUUUUCUCUUGUCUCUUUUCUUCUUCAAAAAAAUAGUAGUUACUUAUGACAGCAAUACAGACUUCUCCAACAGAGUGAUCUUAGUGGGCAGUGUCCGUUUAAAUUAAAUUUUUCUAAUCAAAUAGUUAACUUCAUCAAACAGUCAGAAUCAAUGCUCUGUAUUAGACACAGAACCAAACUCAUUAAGACUUUAUUAUUCAAGCAUGCACCUCCCUUCAGCUUUUAUCUCCCCUCAAGGGUUUUCAUAGUAAAGCAGACUUUUUUUUUUUUUUUUAAUUAGCCCUUCUGCCCUGGAGUCUUCUAUUUGAUUUUCCAGUAUCCAGGGAAGUAUUGGUUUUUUUAACUGCUCAAUCCUUGAAUAGAAAAUUUUGCCUCUUAGUUCUGUGUUAUCAGUGAUAAUAAAGCUUCAUGGAAGACAUUUUGAUAAUGCAGAAACAGAAGUGCACAAAGGCAAAGUGACACUUCAAAGGAGCAUUAGCUCUGAUAUUAGAAUCUCAUUUAUCUAACUUGUUCCUAAAGGACAAGUUAGCAAUUCAUGGGGGUACAAUUCGCACGCACACAUGAAGUGGCAUGAAAGGCCCUUCAGUUCAGCAGGGCUGCCUGAUCCCAGUGCCCUUCAGUGUGUGGAGCUUUAUGAAUGUUGUUGUAUUUUUAUUUUUCCUCGACUUCGUUCAUUUUCAUACGAGAACCAAUUGCUUAUUUAACUGUUUCUCUGUGUGUUGUGAGGGAUCCAGAAAUGGUUGUACAAGGAUUAUUGUUAUUGUAGGAGGAUCAAUCUGCAUGUUUGCUGCCUUCCCCUGUAUGCUGAACAACCUGUGACAGCUCACCAGCCAGUGACGUGCGGUACCAUGACUAUCCAGGUGUACAUCUCUGUGUCAAGGAUGCUCUGCCUUUGCUACUUAAUCAUGGUGUAUCUCAUCAACAGGAUAAACAAUGCACAUGCAUCAAUGCCUUAUUAA